GUCAAUCACCUCGCGCCUUUCGGACGAGGCUUGUAAAAGCCAGAUCGUUUAGGAUUCGGUUGACCAGCCUAAGCCUUUCGAGGACAACGUUGAUAUCAGGUUAAAGACACACCUUGGAAUACUUCGGAAGUUAAAAGCUCUGU
This 143-nucleotide small RNA is filed under the name uncultured Desulfovibrio sp. Its description in RNAcentral is "HNH endonuclease-associated RNA and ORF (HEARO) RNA". It matches the Rfam family "HNH endonuclease-associated RNA and ORF (HEARO) RNA", at positions 1 to 128 of the family's 211-position model. The record is from RNAcentral. Lineage: Bacteria; Pseudomonadati; Thermodesulfobacteriota; Desulfovibrionia; Desulfovibrionales; Desulfovibrionaceae.